UGGAGAAGGGCAAGCAGGGAAAAAAGCGCAGCUCCUGGCCACACUGGGGCCCAGAGCAGCCAACAGUGAGGCCGAGGUUUGAAGAGCAGAGGCCGACCAGCCGCGGCCAGACCUUUGCCCAGCCCUGCCCGUUUAUUGCCGGGUACUUGCUGGAAGGGGACAGAAGAUAAGACUCGGGGUGACUCCCAAGGCCUGAAGGGGGCUGAUUGGGCCG
Homo sapiens (human) is the source of this 214-nucleotide long non-coding RNA. Ensembl annotates it as HOXB cluster antisense RNA 4. Its record names the gene HOXB-AS4. The record is from Ensembl. Lineage: Eukaryota; Metazoa; Chordata; Mammalia; Primates; Hominidae.